This 253-nucleotide ribosomal RNA is filed under the name uncultured prokaryote. Its description in RNAcentral is "partial 16S ribosomal RNA". It matches the Rfam family "Bacterial small subunit ribosomal RNA", at positions 524 to 776 of the family's 1533-position model. The record is from RNAcentral.
GACGAACCGUGCGAACGUUGUUCGGAAUCACUGGGCUUAAAGGGCGCGUAGGCGGACCACCAAGUCCGGGGUGAAAUCUUUCGGCUCAACCGGAAAACAGCCUUGGAUACUGGCGGUCUCGAGCGAGGUAGGGGCAGCUGGAACUUCCGGUGGAGCGGUGAAAUGCGUUGAUAUCGAGAGGAACACCUGUGGCGAAAGCGGCUCACUGGACCAUAACUGACGCUGAGGCGCGAAAGCUAGGGGAGCAAACAGG